UACAACUCCUGACGGUGGAGGUCUCGGAUUCUUCAUCAAUGAAGAACACAGCAA
Molecule: ribosomal RNA, 54 nt
Filed under: Hypnea valentiae
Lineage: Eukaryota; Rhodophyta; Florideophyceae; Gigartinales; Hypneaceae
Description: partial 5.8S ribosomal RNA
Source: RNAcentral